Bombyx mori (domestic silkworm) is the source of this 2215-nucleotide long non-coding RNA. RefSeq lists it as uncharacterized. The record is from RefSeq and is a predicted model, not a curated record. Lineage: Eukaryota; Metazoa; Arthropoda; Insecta; Lepidoptera; Bombycidae. The transcript has 4 exons.
GCCGUGUCGACGCCCAUUCCCGCAGCUGUAUCACGUAUUUCGCAGACAAUUAGCAGAAGACAAAUAUUGUGCAAAUAUUGCUGUCAACUGUCCAUUUCGUAUUACGGACUUACAACAAAAAAGCAGAUCGCGGACCAUCACUAGUGCUGCCUCUGCAGAGCGAUUUGUGAAACUUUAGUGCAUUCUUUUCCAUACAACUAACAACAACUGGCCUAAAGUCGGUAUUACGGAUGCUUUUGUUUGCCACACAACAGCAGAUAUUUAGCAAUUUCGUUUGUCAAAUUUGCGACACCUUUUGUAUCUGGUGCUGAAUUGUUGCUAACUAUCUGCAAGUGUAAAAUUUGUGAAAUUAAGUUAUUUUAACUUGAUUUAGGUAAGUGUAAUUGGUUUAGAUCUUUAUUUGCGUUUGUGUUUUCCAUAGUAUUAACAUUAAAUACCACGCUGGGCAAUUUAAGUACAUUAAUAAUGUUGAGGUUAUAAAGUUUAUUUUUUACAAAAUAAUAUUUCUUCUAGGUAUGUAUGGACAGAGCUCAAAUAAUGGGGCUUUGGAGUCUAAGGAAAUUAGGUGGGAUACAUACGAAUCAGUGCGUUUGCGACGCUGUCUUCGUGAUCAAGCCUGACCCCUUAAUCUAUCGGAAAGUUUGUGUUCAGAACACAUUACAGAAUUUCGAAACAUCAAUAUUUACAAUUGUGCUCUGAAUUAAAGCCGUGAAUAACCUAGAUCAUCAAGACGAACAAGAAUAGAAAGUAAAAUGCAAGGUGUUAACAGCAUUGCCAAAUUUCAUACCAGAAACCUGUGGGAAUGAGCUUUUUGCAUUUUGAGGUAAACUGUAGUAAAUCCAAUGCCAUUAGGGAAGUGGCUAUGGCAUUAAACAAUCUUCCAGUUUUAUUGAAACAUUUAAAGUUUCUGCAAACAGUACAAUGGGUCACAAGUUAUUAUAAAUGGGUUUUACAAUAAAUUUGGCUUUCCUGGGGUUUCGGGGUGUAUAGAUGGCACUCAUUUGCACUUAUCAGAUCUUCUGUAUAUGAAGAAAGGUUUUAGAACCGCAAGCAUUAUCAUUUCAAGAAUGUGCAAAUAAUCUGUGAUAGUGAUCUUAACAUUUUAAGUAUUGAUGCAACAUUUCAUGAUACAUUUGUCUGGCUUAUCACAACUGAAUAUGCCUAUGCAGGACCUGCACCAUAAUAGUGAAAAAGUUUGGUUUUUAGGCAAGUAAAACAUCAUGAGCUCUGUCUCAGUAACUUGACUACAAAAUAAUACUCAAUCUAAAAGUAUAUUUAAAACUGGGAAGGCAGUUAAUAUAUAGUACUAUAGUAAUGUUUAUUGUCAUACCAGGAACACUGUUCACCAUUGUGAGUAUUGAAAGCCAGUUGGAGAUGCUUGUUGGUACAUAGAGUACUGCAUUAUGAUCAUCAUAUGAUGGCCAAGACCAUAAUUGUUAGCUUGUAUUGCAUAACAUGGCAAACACACAUGGGUUUCCAGUGCCCCAACUCUCUGAUGAAGAUGCUGAAAUUGAUGUUUCUUAUCAAAUUCAUAACAUUGUAUUUUUUGGGAGAGAAGAGGAAACACAGCACUUAGCACCAUGUCAACAUUCAAGGGUGGUUCAAUUGGAUUGUGGAGAACAGACAUUAAAUUUAGUCUCAACCUCUGUAUUCUAGUAAUUUUAUGUAGAUAUUUUUAAAACUGCUGUUCUUAAUUAUGUGAACUGAGAGGGCAAGAAUAGCCUAAUUAUUUCUGCCUAUAAUUUUUUAAUUGUGCUUAGUGGAAAUAUACAUAUUUCCUUAACAUUUUUGUGUUUAUAGUAAAGGAUGGAUUCAUAACUAUUUGAAAGCAAAAUUGUGAGGUUGUUUUAUUAAGACAAUGUUUUAAUCUGUCGUGCUCAAUUUGUUCUGUAUCAUUUUAUCUUUAUGUUAACCCCGUUUGUAUGUUGUGUUGUUAUAUAUAUUAUUGUAUAUACUGCUGUUUUAAAUAAUGGAAUAGAAUUAAUAACAAAUCGACUAGUAAUUCAUAAUUCUUCUAGAUUUUGUUGGAUAGUUACAUGAAUAUUACUUACAAAAUGAAAAACAUAAUUCAUAAUUUAGACAAAAUGUUGAUCAACCACCACUGAUUUUUGUUCAUUGUGAUAAUAAUAAUAAUAAUAUAAAUAUAAAUAUUUAACUGGUCCCGUGAUAAGUUCGUAAAGAACUUGUGUUACAGGUACCAGAUAACGGAAAUAAA